CUGGCAAGGGUUGCAAUGAAGGAAGAAAGGGAUAUAUAUAUCUCUAUCUAUUUUAAACCUCAGAACCUUUCUCUCUCUAUCUCUUUUUUAAAAUCGUUUAACUCGAGGAAGAAUAAAAAUUUUUGUUGAGUCGUGAUUUGAGGAAGCCAUGAGCUCGGGGGAAGGAGAGGACGUGUGUAAGGACGGAGCCGAUGUAGCGGCGCACUUCAGAGCCGACUGCUCUCUUCCGAAGUGUGAACCCAAGCUUGAUUUAGCGGGACACACAGGUGAGAAGACUUACACCCUUGCGUGGUGUUUUUGUUUUGAUCUGCUUUGGAAGUGCAAAUCUGCAUGGUCUUAGAGGUCCUUUGUAAUACUCAGGACUUGAUCCCGUUUAUGUGGCUCAAACUAAACUGUGCAAGCGUUCACCUCAUUCUGCUACAUAGACUUAUACUGGCGAUGUCCUAACAGAAAAUUCUAAUAAUAUUUAUGUAGCAUAAUAUUCACACCAAAACCAUUUACAUUUUCAUUUUACAUUUAUUCGCUUUUAUCUGAAGUGACUUACAAAUGAGGAAAUACAAGCAAAGCAAUAUAUCGAGCGGAGAACAAUGCAAGUAGUGCUACUAUACAAGAUUUAUAAUUGAGUUCUAGAGAAGCAAAGUGUGCAGAGUAGAAGUGUAAGAGCCAGUGUAAUUUUUUAUUUAAUUAUUUAUUUAUUUAGAAAUAAAAUAAUGUGGGUUUGGCAUUUUAGAGGUUAGUUAAGUGCUCACGGAAGAGGUGGGUCCUUAGCAGUUUUUUGAAGAUGGUGAGAGAUUCUGUUGUCCGGAUUGAGGUUGGAAGUUCUUUCCACCACUGAGGGACGGUGAAUUUGAAGGUUCUGGAAAGAGACCUUCAA
Molecule: long non-coding RNA, 874 nt
Organism: Ictalurus punctatus (channel catfish)
Lineage: Eukaryota; Metazoa; Chordata; Actinopteri; Siluriformes; Ictaluridae
Source: Ensembl